Capsicum annuum is the source of this 821-nucleotide long non-coding RNA. RefSeq lists it as uncharacterized. NCBI's taxonomy places the organism in Eukaryota, Viridiplantae, Streptophyta, Magnoliopsida, Solanales, Solanaceae. The transcript has 2 exons. The record is from RefSeq and is a predicted model, not a curated record.
UGGAAAUAUUUGAUUGCGGGGUAUGCCAAGAAUGGAAAUGUGGAAGAAGCUUUCAAGUUGUGAUUUCUUUGACUGCGAUGAUCUGUGUAUGUUCGCAAAAUGGGAAGUAUGCGGAUGCACUAACUGUUUACAAGGAAAUGGAGAAAGCCGGAGGGGUAAAGCCUAAUGAAGUUAAGAUUGCUAGUGUUCUUCCAGCUUGUGCGAAUCUUGGGGCACCGAAGGGGGAGAAGAUUGAAGUUUAUGCAAGAGCAAAUGGAUACUUUAAGAAUAUGUUUGUUUGCAAUGCUGUGCUUGAAAUGUAUACAAAGUGUGUUAGAAUUGAUAGGGCUAAGUAACACAAAUUUGUUGUUACGGGUGGCAACCCAAGGGGUUUUGAUAGGGACGAUCCCAGUUGAUAUGUUAUGGGUUGCAGCUCAGGGGUCACAAUACCUAGCAUAGGCCGAUCUCGAUGGAUGAAUUUGCAAGGGUCUUCCUCUUCUACCACAGAUCAAUUGGUCAUUAUAUCUCAUAUUACAAGUUUACAAACAAAGAAAUGUAAAGAUGUACAUGAUUCCACAAUAUAAGAAAAGGUUACCAAGAGGAAAGAGGUCCUCGCCGCGUAUGAUCGAGUUUAGCUGAUGAUUGAUAUGUUUCGUUCAUUCCGGAGUUGCCGAGUUUAGACUUUAAUUUGGCCUGUAUAAUCAAAGAUUACUACGGUGCCUAUCUCGACUAGUGAUUAACGAUUUCUCAUCCUAGAAUCUUGUAGACAAUUGUUGCCGUAGGUCAGGUAGUUAGUUACAAUCCAAUUGUCCUUAUAUUAUACUGUUGUUAUAUUGUGUUUA